This 639-nucleotide ribosomal RNA is filed under the name uncultured bacterium. RNAcentral describes it as "bacterial SSU rRNA". It matches the Rfam family "Bacterial small subunit ribosomal RNA", at positions 846 to 1482 of the family's 1533-position model. The record is from RNAcentral.
UUACAGCUAACGCGUUAAACAUUCCGCCUGGGACUACGGUCGCAAGAUUAAAACUCAAAANNNUUGACGGGGACCCGCACAAGCGGUGGAGCAUGUGGUUUAAUUCGAUGCAACGCGAAAAACCCUACCACUCCUUGACAUGGAAAUUAUACCUAUUCGAAGGGAUAGGGUCGGUUCGACCGGGUUUCACACAGGUGUUGCAUGGCUGUCGUCAGCUCGUGUCGUGAGAUGUUGGGUUAAGUCCCGCAACGAGCGCAACCCUCAUCCUUAGUUACCAUCAGGUAAUGCUGGGGACUUUAAGGAGACUGCCAGUGAUAAACUGGAGGAAGGUGGGGAUGAUGUCAAGUCAUCAUGGCCCUUAUGGAGUGGGCUACACACGUGCUACAAUGGUGGCUACAAUGGGCUGCAAAGUCGCGAGGCUAAGCCAAUCCCUUAAAAGCCAUCUCAGUUCGGAUUGUACUCUGCAACUCGAGUGCAUGAAGUUGGGAUCGCUAGUAAUCGUGGAUCAGCACGCCACGGUGAAUACGUUCUCGGGUCUUGUACACGCUGCCCGUCACGCCAUGGGAAUUGGUUUCACUCGAAGCUAACGACCUAACCGCAAGGAGGGAGUUAUUUAAAGUGGGAUCGGUGACUGGGGUG